Molecule: long non-coding RNA, 628 nt
Organism: Eriocheir sinensis (Chinese mitten crab)
Lineage: Eukaryota; Metazoa; Arthropoda; Malacostraca; Decapoda; Varunidae
Exons: 3
Source: RefSeq, a predicted model, not a curated record
GGGGAAAAAGUUAUAAACAAAAUGAGAAAUAAUCACAGCCAAAGUUAUUAGACUUCCACUAAUUAUAGCAAAAGGUGCAAAAUCAUUUUUGUAAAAUCUAAAGGCAUAUACUUUCUAAGCAUAUGAAACUUAUUUUACUGUUUUCAAGCCAGAAGAAAGAACACAGAAAAUAAAAAUCUCCACUACAGAGCAAAGCAAAUAAUCAUGCAUCUCGGACUGCAGGAAAGCAUACAAAAGGCAAAGAUUUUCCUCAGGCAUCAGUCAUCUACUUGUGAGAGCUUUGGCAACUCCUCUACUAAAGCAGGGUUGAGACUGGCGAUGACAGCAUUUGCGUAGGCUGAGGUUGUGGCAAAACCCCCCAUAUCCUUGGUCCUCACCUACGCGCAUGCAUGAAGAGAAAGUAUGAAAAUGAAGUCUACAUUAAAGAUGACUAACUACAUAAAGCUUUAGUCUUCCUAUUUGUGACAGGCGAGGAAGUCUCCUCCAGAAUUCCACCGUUAUUUCAUGUGGAUGGUGGUUGUCCCAUCUGUGCAUGUGCCAGAGAACAGUGUGGGUCUUGGUGCUGACUGGCUUUCCUGACAGUCUCUUUGUUAAUAAUUAAGCAGCCAGCAAGGGCUAUUUCCUGCAG